This 837-nucleotide ribosomal RNA is filed under the name uncultured bacterium. Its description in RNAcentral is "bacterial SSU rRNA". It matches the Rfam family "Bacterial small subunit ribosomal RNA", at positions 674 to 1510 of the family's 1533-position model. The record is from RNAcentral.
UGUAGCAGUGAAAUGCGUAGAGAUCAAGAGGAACACUCGUGGCGAAAGCGAGCUACUGGACAAUUCCUGACGCUGAGGCUCGAAGGCUAGGGUAGCGAAAGGGAUUAGAUACCCCUGUAGUCCUAGCAGUAAACGGUGCACGCUUGGUGUGAGGGGAAUCGACCCCCCUUGUGCCGGAGCUAACGCGUUAAGCGUGCCGCCUGGGAAGUACGGUCGCAAGACUAAAACUCAAAGAAAUUGACGGGGACCCGCACAAGCGGUGGAGUAUGUGGCUUAAUUCGAUGCAACGCGAAGAACCUUACCAAGGCUUGACAUGCAUCUCUAAACACGUGAAAGCGUGUGACCCUUCGGGGAAUUUGCACAGGUGCUGCAUGGCCGUCGUCAGCUCGUGUCGUGAGAUGUUGGGUUAAGUCCCGCAACGAGCGCAACCCUUGUGAUUAGUUGCCAGCACGUUAAGGUGGGAACUCUAGUCAGACUGCCCAGAUCAACUGGGAGGAAGGUGGGGACGACGUCAGGUCAGUAUGGCCCUUACGCCUUGGGCUGCACACGUACUACAAUGCCCAGCACAAUGAGAACCGAGACCGCGAGGUGGAGGAAAUCUGUAAAACUGGGCUCAGUUCGGAUUGGAGGCUGCAACUCGCCUCCAUGAAGUUGGAAUCGCUAGUAAUGGGGCAUCAUCUACGGCCCCGUGAAUACGUUCCCGGGUCUUGUACACACCGCCCGUCACAUCAUGGAAGCCGGUCGCACCCGAAGUGCUCGUACUAACCGCAAGGGGGUAGAGUCCUAAGGUGUAGCUGGUAACUGGGAUGAAGUCGUAACAAGGUAACCAAGGGCGAA